This 458-nucleotide ribosomal RNA is filed under the name Androctonus mauritanicus. RNAcentral describes it as "partial 12S ribosomal RNA". Lineage: Eukaryota; Metazoa; Arthropoda; Arachnida; Scorpiones; Buthidae. The record is from RNAcentral.
ACCGUAAAAGUGAAGAAAUUUUAGUUUUAAUUAUGAAGUUUUGAGGUGAAAAGAAAAGUUUUCUUUUGAGGUAAAAUUGAAAGCAAGUAAUUUUUUCAAAAUUGGAACUUUAAAAAUUUUUGGAUGAGACUAGGAUUAGAUACCCUAUUAUUAUUAAAAAAAAAGAAAUUAGGUAGUAUUGGAAGACUUGAAACUUAAAGAAUUUGGCGGUGUUUUAAUCUCAUCAGAGGAACUUGCGUUAUAAAUCGAAAUUACUCGUUUUAUCUUACUUAAAUUUAGUUUGUAUAUCGUCGUAAAAAUAAAACUUUAAAGUGAAUAUUAAAAAUUAUUUAAUGAAAAAUUACAGAUCAAGGUUCAGCUGUAUUUAAGAAAGCGUGAGUUACAUUGUUUUAGAAACAAAUGAAUAAUUUCUUGAAAAGAAAUUUGAAGGUGGAUUGAAAGUAUGUAGAAAUAAAAAG